AAUUGGCACGAUUUAGCCAUGCUAGUCGCACGAGUUCAGACUCGUGGCGAAUAGCUCAGUAACACGUGGCCAAACUACCCUUCGGAACACAAUACCCUCGGGAAACUGAGGCUAAUAGUGUAUAUCGUACCACCACUGGAAUGAGUGGUACGCCAAACGCUCCGGCGCCGAAGGAUGUGGCUGCGGCCGAUUAGGUAGACGGUGGGGUAACGGCCCACCGUGCCAAUAAUCGGUAUGGGUCAUGAGAGUGAGAACCCAGAGACGGAAUCUGAGACAAGAUUCCGGGCCCUACGGGGCGCAGCAGGCGCGAAACCUUUACACUGCACGACAGUGCGAUAGGGGGAUCCCAAGUGCACAGGCAUAGCGCCUGUGCUUUUCGGCACCCUAAGGCGGUGCCAGAAUAAGGGCUGGGCAAGACCGGUGCCAGCCGCCGCGGUAAUACCGGCAGCCCAAGUGAUGGCCGAUCUUAUUGGGCCUAAAGCGUCCGUAGCUGGCCGCGCAAGUCCAUCGGGAAAUCCACCUGCUCAACAGGUGGGCGCCCGGUAGAAACUGCGUGGCUUGGGACCGGAAGGCGCGACGGGUACGUCCGGGGUAGGAGUGAAAUCCCGUAAUCCUGGACGGACCGCCGAUGGCGAAAGCACGUCGCGAGAACGGAUCCGACAGUGAGGGACGAAAGCCAGGGUCUCGAACCGGAUUAGAUACCCGGGUAGUCCUGGGCGUAAACAAUGUCUGCUAGGUGUGGCUCCCACUACGAGUGGGUGCUGUGCCGUAGGGAAGCCGCUAAGCAGACCGCCUGGGAAGUACGUCCGCAAGGAUGAAACUUAAAGGAAUUGGCGGGGGAGCACUACAACCGGAGGAGCCUGCGGUUUAAUUGGACUCAACGCCGGACAUCUCACCAGCAUCGACUGUAGUAAUGACGAUCAGGUUGAUGACCUUAUCCGAGCCUCAGAGAGGAGGUGCAUGGCCGCCGUCAGCUUGUACCGUGAGGCGUCCUGUUAAGUCAGGCAACGAGCGAGACCCGCACCCUUACUUGCCAGCAGUACCGUGAGGUAGCUGGGGACAGUAGGGGGACCGCCGUGGCUAACACGGAGGAAGGAACGGGCAACGGUAGGUCAGUAUGCCCCGAAUGUGCUGGGCAACACGCGGGCUACAAUGGUCGAGACAAAGGGUUCCUACUCCGAAAGGAGACGGUAAUCUCAGAAACUCGAUCGUAGUUCGGAUUGUGGGCUGCAACUCGCCCACAUGAAGCUGGAUUCGGUAGUAAUCGCGUGUCACAAGCGCGCGGUGAAUACGUCCCUGCUCCUUGCACACACCGCCCGUCAAAGCACCCGAGUGAGGUCCGGAUGAGGCGUCCACGAACGUCGAUAU
RNAcentral lists this ribosomal RNA (1368 nucleotides) under Halorubrum sp. Bet25. Its description in RNAcentral is "bacterial SSU rRNA". It matches the Rfam family "Archaeal small subunit ribosomal RNA". Lineage: Archaea; Methanobacteriati; Methanobacteriota; Halobacteria; Halobacteriales; Haloferacaceae. The record is from RNAcentral.